This is an RNA transcript of Salvia splendens (bonfire salvia), 1036 nucleotides long. RefSeq lists it as uncharacterized. The transcript is spliced from 5 exons. The record is from RefSeq and is a predicted model, not a curated record. Lineage: Eukaryota; Viridiplantae; Streptophyta; Magnoliopsida; Lamiales; Lamiaceae.
CGAGCUCAAAUUUUCUCCCCAUUUUUCACACCCUUCCUCUCGUCAGUCUCUCGAUCUUUUGUUCAUGAUUCUUGCGCUAAUUUCAUGGUGCCUGUUCUUCUUUUUCCCUCCGGCCUGAACCCCUCGAUCUUUUGCACUUGAUUCAUGAUUCUUGCGCUAAUUUCAUGGUGCCUGUUCUUCUUCCCUCGAUCUUUUGCACAUGAUAUAUGCCUACCUUCGGAUGGACUGGUCUCAUCCUUUCCAAGUGACCUUGUACGGAGCCAUUUGAGAAGCUUAAUCUACCAUCUGUGACUGUCGGCCAUUCUAACCCCCUCCACUUACACACUCUUUCAACUCAAAUCAAUCCAAGAGAAAUUCAAUUCAAUGCAGAUUGAAGAACAAAGUCAUCUGUUUACUUUAGGCCGUUCACGGAAGUUUCGUUCAGAGUGCAGUAUGAACUGGUGGAAGAUUCCUACUACAAAUCUUUCAUGGCAGCCAUAACUGACAUGUCAUCUAGCUGGUUGGUCUACAAUCUGUCCUCAAAGAAGGUGGGAAACGUGGAGGUGGAGCUUCCGGAUACGGAUGUGAUUGAAGCUUUCUAUGUCGGCAACACUCAUACCACAAGCACUAGUUGGGUCUUCUACGUAUGCCUUCGUCAUAUGGUUAAUUAUACGACUAGUGGUGUUCGAUAUGCCAAGGUCGAAGUUGUGCAAGGCAAGGACGGGGAUUACAUUGCUACUGUGCAGAUGAAUGGUGUCCUGAGAGUGCGUCCCUUUUCAGAUAUGCAUAUGUUUGGUUUCAAAGCAAGGUCUAAGAGAGAUGCGGAGGAACAACCACUGGAGAAGAAAGGGAAAGAGAAGAUGAUGAGAAUUGAGUGAAAGCCUGCUGCUGGGAACUAUAUAUGUACAGACUUAUUUUCGUGUUGUUUAAAUCAGAGAAUGAAUAAUUAUGUGUCUCAAUGAUCAAGAGCAAACUCAAUUAUGAUAAGAAUAUGACUCUCUUUGAAUUUGAAAUUAACUAUUGAGUGAAAAAGAAAAUUUGAUUGCUAUGUCCUUAA